AACCUCCGCAAUGUGAGAAAUCGCGACGGGGGGAUUCCAAGUGCCAUUCUUAACGGGAUGGCUUUUCAUUAGUGUAAAGAGCUUUUGGAAUAAGAGCUGGGCAAGACCGGUGCCAGCCGCCGCGGUAACACCGGCAGCUCUAGUGGUAACAAUUUUUAUUGGGCCUAAAGCGUCCGUAGCCGGUUUAAUAAGUCUCUGGUGAAAUCCUGUAGCUUAACUGUGGGAAUUGCUGGAGAUACUAUUAGACUUGAGACCGGGAGAGGUUAGAGGUACUCCCAGGGUAGAGGUGAAAUUCUGUAAUCCUGGGAGGACCGCCUGUUGCGAAGGCGUCUAACUGGAACGGUUCUGACGGUGAGGGACGAAAGUUAGGGGCGCGAACCGGAUUAGAUACCCGGGUAGUCCUAACUGUAAACGAUGCGGACUUGGUGUUGGGGUGGCUUUGAGCUGCUCCAGUGCCGAAGGGAAGCUGUUAAGUCCGCCGCCUGGGAAGUACGGUCGCAAGACUGAAACUUAAAGGAAUU
This 521-nucleotide ribosomal RNA is filed under the name uncultured bacterium. RNAcentral's name for it is "bacterial SSU rRNA". It matches the Rfam family "Archaeal small subunit ribosomal RNA", at positions 345 to 866 of the family's 1478-position model. The record is from RNAcentral.